RNAcentral lists this RNase P RNA (308 nucleotides) under Flavobacterium sp. J49. Its description in RNAcentral is "RNase P RNA component class A". It matches the Rfam family "Bacterial RNase P class A". From Rfam's summary of the family: Ribonuclease P (RNase P) is a ubiquitous endoribonuclease, found in archaea, bacteria and eukarya as well as chloroplasts and mitochondria. Its best characterised activity is the generation of mature 5'-ends of tRNAs by cleaving the 5'-leader elements of precursor-tRNAs. Cellular RNase Ps are ribonucleoproteins. Lineage: Bacteria; Pseudomonadati; Bacteroidota; Flavobacteriia; Flavobacteriales; Flavobacteriaceae. The record is from RNAcentral.
GCCGCAGACCGCCUUAUCGUUCCGAUUUAUCGGGAAGGAAAGUCCGGACACCACAGAGUAGCAUAGCGGGUAACGCCCGUCCGUCGAGAGAUGAGGACAAGUGCAACAGAAAGUAUGUACAGGUAAGGCUGUAGUGAAACCAGGUAAACUCUAUGCGGUGAAAUUCCAAGUAUAUCGGCAUUUAAGGGCUACUCGUCCGUUGUCGAAGGGUAGGAAGCUAGAACCAAUGAGCAAUUGUUGGUCGAGAUAAAUGAUAAGGAUCCCGGUUUAUCGGGAUACAGAAUCCGGCUUACAGGUCUGCUUUUUUU